GAUGAACGCUGGCGGCGUGCCUAAUACAUGCAAGUCGAGCGAACAGACGAGGAGCUUGCUCCUCUGACGUUAGCGACGGACGGGUGAGUAACACGUGGAUAACCUACCUAUAAGACUGGGAUAACUGCGGGAAACCGGAGCUAAUACCGGAUAAUAUAUUGAACGGCAUGGUUCAAUAGUGAAAGACGGUUUUGCUGUCACUUAUAGCUGGAUCCGCGCCGCAUUAGCUAGUUGGUAAGGUAACGGCUUACCAAGGCAACGAUGCGUAGCCGACCUGAGAGGGUGAUCGGCCACACUGGGACUGAGACACGGUCCAGACUCCUACGGGAGGCAGCAGUAGGGAAUCUUCCGAAAUGGGCGAAAGCCUGACGGAGCAACGCCGCGUGAGUGAUGAAGGUCUUCGGAUCGUAAAACUCUGUUAUUAGGGAAGAACAAAUGUGUAAGUAACUAUGCACGUCUUGACGGUACCUAAUCAGAAAGCCCCGGCUAACUACGUG
This 497-nucleotide ribosomal RNA is filed under the name uncultured bacterium. Its description in RNAcentral is "partial 16S ribosomal RNA". It matches the Rfam family "Bacterial small subunit ribosomal RNA", at positions 28 to 507 of the family's 1533-position model. The record is from RNAcentral.